This 253-nucleotide ribosomal RNA is filed under the name uncultured bacterium. RNAcentral describes it as "partial 16S ribosomal RNA". It matches the Rfam family "Bacterial small subunit ribosomal RNA", at positions 524 to 776 of the family's 1533-position model. The record is from RNAcentral.
UACGGGGGGGGCAAGCGUUGUUCGGAAUUACUGGGCGUAAAGGGCUCGUAGGCGGCCAACUAAGUUGGAUGUGAAAGCCCUGGGCUCAACCCAGGAACUGCACCUGAAACUACCAGUCUUGAGUGGUGGAGAGGGAAGUGGAAUUCCUGGUGUAGAGGUGAAAUUCGUAGAUAUCAGGAGGAACACCAGUGGCGAAGGCGGCUUCCUGGACACUAACUGACGCUGAGACGCGAAAGCGUGGGGAGCAAACAGG